AUAUACUGUAGCUAAGAAUUUGACUGAUUCUUUUCCUCAGUAUUGGCUCUCAGUGAGGCUUGAGGAUCAUUGAAUCUCCCCAGUCAUGGUGAAUUUUGCAAAAUAACAGCAAGAAAAGUUGUUUCUGAAGAUAUAAUUGCUAUGAGACAUUUACUGUCAAACCCCAAAGCCCUGGAAGGGUAGGAGCCUCUGCACUGGUGAUGGGGGAUGAAGAGACCCAGAGGCUGCAGCAGCGUGCCGACGAAUGCCAAGGACCAGCUGAUCAGCAGAGAAGAAAGGCUCUCAUGAGAGAGGACGGGAAGUUAAAAUAGACUAACAAGCUGGCAAGAAGAGCAUUGCCAUUGGACCUAGAGAAGAAAGAAAACAUGACUAGCAGGCAAAGAUGGAAUUAUGCAGUUUCAUCACAAUAAAGAAAAAUAAGUUCCUCGGGGACUGAAGAUCAAUGAAAUAUGGUUGUCAUUAUAGUCACUAUGCACUGAGGAUAGUAGUAGCAGUAUUAGAUAGGAUAGUAGACAGUAGUAGUAGGUAAAGCAGUAUAGGAUCAAUCAAUCACAGUCAGCCAAAAAGGGUAGAUCCAAGAAAAUAUGGAGGUUCUGACAGAUUGCUUGCUAAAUGUUAAUUGAAACCUUUGAUGAAUUCCGUGAGGAAUUAGUAAUAUACUUUAUUUAAUAAUACAUAUUUUGCAGUAGUUUAGGAUAAGCACACUGUGAUUGAAACAACAGUGUUACUAUGGGAAGGGAGAUAGUUUCCAAAUAGUACAGCCAUUCAUCCCUGGAUCAGUUUGCUGGAUUCCACUCUUCUGAAGUUAGAAGCAGGAGGGAGAAGGGGAAUGCUGCUUUUAUAGUUGAUCUUUUAUAGAUAUACUUCUGUCUUUGAAAUGUAUAUAAA
Molecule: long non-coding RNA, 888 nt
Organism: Pantherophis guttatus
Lineage: Eukaryota; Metazoa; Chordata; Lepidosauria; Squamata; Colubridae
Source: RefSeq, a predicted model, not a curated record